CUGCUGCCCAGACCGAAGCUACUCCGCAAGCUAAUGCAAUUUCAGUUGUGCCUCAUACUUCACCUUCGGCUGGCACGGAACCAAGUUCUGCGACACCUGGUCCUCUUCUUACGUUUACCUCCAAGGACUCCGGUUCAGUUUUACCUGCUCCUGUUCCUGCAUCAUCUUCUGCAUGCAUGGAACUAAGUUCAGUUUGCCCUGUUCCUGCUGUUGCAUCCUCCUGUUCCAGCAUGGGUCCAACCUCGUCAGCACCUGCUCCUCUUCUUUUAGCAUCUAAUGCAACAGGAAAAUUAGAUUCUGGAUCGGAUAAGGGGACAUUUUCUUGCUCUUCUGCUAUUUCAGGCCAUGACGAUUCUUUAUGUGAUUCUUCUAUCUUGAAGAAUAUUGGUCAAGGAGAUUCUGGUGUAGGAACUGGUCAUACUUCUGAUCCAGUGCCACCAUUGCCUGCAAUUUCAUCGGUUUCACAGUAUAGCACUCCUCCCACUGCACCUAAGCCAGGUAGAGGACGAGGACGCAAGCCUCAAACUGGAAGUGAGCCACCACGGCGCAGGGGGAAGAGACAGGAUUUGAUCACCACAACUGUUACUGAGGGGUUAGGUGCUCAGGAUCCAAGAUCAAUUGAACCCCCACAAAAGAGAACCAGGUUAUCUGUUGGGAGGAAGCCCACUACAAGAAGCAAGCGUGAGAAUGAAGCUCAACAAGUAGUUGUAGACCAGUCGGUUGCAUCUCAAAGGACUCCAGAUUUUUCUGGACAAAUCCCUAAAGAUAUGGUCCGUAGUGAAGUUGAUCCACAGAACAAUGCUAUCAACAGAGACGCAUCUCAAUCCCAUGCUAUUCUGGUUCCUGGUCAGGUGGGUGAUAAUGUAAACCCGGAUACUGCUACUGCUGAAAAGGUUCUCGAUGAUGCUCAGAGAAAGGCAACUGUGAUCCAAUCUGUUGCACCUCAAAGUUGCUCUGGUCCUCCUAUUGAGCUGCAGAUUAACAUGGUCAACUCUGGCGAUUCUCCUGCUCAGGUUGGUGUAUCUGCUGAAGAGGUUUAUACUGUAAUUUGAAUUUUGAAACUGCUAUGACUUAAAAGGUUCUCCAGGAAGUGCAGGAACAAACAGCAAUUGUCCAGUCAGAUGCAUCUCAAAUGAUUCCAGAUCCUAGUGCAAGGCCAAUCCCUCAAGCUAUGGUGCGUUCUGAAGUUGAGCUACAUAGAAAUGCUAUCAAAUCCGAUGCAUCACAAUCCAGUGGUCAUGUUGCUGAACGGGUAGAUACUGUAAAUAUAAGCUGUGGAGCUGCUCCAACUAAGGAGGUUCUCAGUGAGGAUCAACAGAUAAUGAAAGUUCAGUCAGCUGCAUCUCAGACGCCUUCAGUUCUCUCUGUUGGGAAAAUCCCUGAAGAUAUAGCGUUUAAUGAAGUUCAGCCGCAGUCUGAUGCUAUCCAAACAGAUCCAUCGUCCCAUGUUACUCUUUCUUCUGCAGGGGUGGACAAUCUCAAGGAAAAGGAAAAUGCUAUGACUAGAGAGAUCCCCUUGGUAACUCCACUAUCAGAGACCAAAGAAGAGGGAUAUUCGAGAAGUAAAUAUGACAGCCAUCCAAAUUUACCUGUAUCUUGUGAUGAGUUGGCUGUAUCAACUUCAGGAUCAAUGGCUCAGGUUAGUGAUUGUCUGGUUGAGGAGAGUGAAGGUGAUUCUAAGGGUGAAGGUGCUGAAAAGAGUGAAACUAAUUCUAAAGGUGAAGGUGGUAAGAUUGAGGCUAUGAAUGACAAAUGUGAGAGUGAUAGUAAGAAUGAAAAUGAUG
Molecule: long non-coding RNA, 1784 nt
Filed under: Nicotiana tabacum (common tobacco)
Lineage: Eukaryota; Viridiplantae; Streptophyta; Magnoliopsida; Solanales; Solanaceae
Description: long non-coding RNA (NTAB_LNC014218)
Source: RNAcentral